RNAcentral lists this ribosomal RNA (381 nucleotides) under Triticum aestivum (bread wheat). RNAcentral's name for it is "partial small subunit ribosomal RNA". Lineage: Eukaryota; Viridiplantae; Streptophyta; Magnoliopsida; Poales; Poaceae. The record is from RNAcentral.
AUGGGACUCAGGCCUAUGCCGACGGCCCUGGCCGUCGGCAUAGGGUGCGAUUCCGGUAGUGACUGGCCUUCACACAAUUGGGGAGACAAGAUACUUGAGUUUGAUUUGGACACGCAGAACCUUACCGUGAUAAAGGGGCCUCCUGGUGUGAAUUAUUCCGACAAUUUCCAGAUCAUCCAGGCAGAAGAUGGCGCCGUUGGUAUUGCCGUGUUGUCUUACAAUACCCUUCAACUAUGGCAGCGAACGGUUAAUUAUCGAGGUGAUGCCAUAUGGUGUCAUGCAAGAUUUUUCCAUUGCGUAACCUUAUUAACAUCCCUCCUCGAACUAGGAGAAAGAGGGAAUGUAUUCGAUUGGUGGGGUAUGAUGAGGCUACCGAUGUAA